RNAcentral lists this ribosomal RNA (1308 nucleotides) under Triticum aestivum (bread wheat). Its description in RNAcentral is "partial small subunit ribosomal RNA". The record is from RNAcentral. Lineage: Eukaryota; Viridiplantae; Streptophyta; Magnoliopsida; Poales; Poaceae.
AUGGCGUUAGCCACCGCCGCCGCCCUGCCGGCGACAGCAGCGGCCACCUCGACGUCGUUUCCGUCUCUCCUCCAACACCACUCACCCGGCAGCCGCCGAACGGUCACAGCCCUGGCCUUCGCGCGGCGCUUCCGCAGCAAAAACCCUAGCCCCUUCCGCUCCGGCAGCAAGGCCGCCGCCCCGACCCCGACCCCGGCCCACGCCCCCGCCCCCGAAGACGACUUCGGCGGCCUCGAGGGAGAGCUCUGGCGCCUCCGCCGCAGCGCGGAGCUGCGAUUCCAGCGCCUCGCCGCGGAGGCCGACGAAGCCUACAGCGACCUCCGCUCCUGCGUCCGCGUCGUCGGCGGGGACCGCCUGGUCCUGACCUUCCGCCGCUCGUCGCUGCGCUUCGCCGCAUUCGCCCUUCUCUGGUCCCUCGCUCUCUCCGCCGCGGCCUGGGCGUCGCUGGGGCUGGCCUUGCGUGCUUGGCGCCAGCUAUGGGGGCGGGGUUGGUGGGAACGACCGGAAGGCGGAGCUGUGGUGACGAAGCGGGACCGGAGCAUGGGAGGGAAGGAGGUGGUGGUGGCUGUAUCGUCUCCUGUGCUGCCUCCGGUCAGCCGCGUCCAGGAGCCCGCAAGGAAGGUCAGGAGGAAGGAACCACAGGGAAGGGUCCCAGAGUGGUGGCCUGAGGUAGAAACCGAGUUGGUGGAACUGGGGCAAGAAGCGGAGAGGUGGGCGAUAUUGGCCAAUAGAUUGGUCCGAGCAAUCAUUGACAAUAGGGUUGCGGGGAGGGAUUACAGAUACGAUGAUGCAGUUCAACUAAGGCAGUUAUGCAAGAUAUCAGGAGUAAAGGUCUCAUUUGACGCAGAAAAUGCACGCGAUUCUUUCUAUAGGGCAACAACAGGCUUUGUUCUGGACGAUUGCAGCAGAACAGCAGAAGACAUGGGGACAACACAAAUUAAUGGAGAGAAUCCAAGAGAUUUUCUUGCUGGUCUUUCUGUGAAUAUUGGGUUGGACAAGUUCCGUGCUGCCACACUUAUUUGUGCAUCAGUUGCUGCUCGCACUCGUGCGUGUCUCUUGCAAUGCUGGGCUCUAGAGAUUCAGGGAAAACGAACGGAGGCACUAGAUGAGCUUGUAAAGAUCUGUAGAAUUCAUCGUGUAUUCCCUCCAGAAGAAAAUUCUGCAGAAAUGGAAAUGGUCGCUGGUGGACUUAAAAAGAAUUUGGAAGUUGCAGAGAGGGUUCACCUUCUCUCUCUAUACAGGGGCGUAUGUACUACUGGUGUCAAAACCGCUGCAGAAGCUCUUGGCCUGAGCUUGCCGGACCAAUGA